This 498-nucleotide ribosomal RNA is filed under the name uncultured bacterium. RNAcentral's name for it is "partial 16S ribosomal RNA". It matches the Rfam family "Bacterial small subunit ribosomal RNA", at positions 28 to 507 of the family's 1533-position model. The record is from RNAcentral.
GACGAACGCUGGCGGCGUGCCUAAUACAUGCAAGUCGAACGAGAGCGACCGGUGCUUGCACUGGUCAAUCUAGUGGCGAACGGGUGAGUAACACGUGGGUAACCUGCCCAUCAGAGGGGGAUAACAUCCGGAAACGGAUGCUAAAACCGCAUAGGUCUUCGAACCGCAUGGUUUGAAGAGGAAAAGAGGCGCAAGCUUCUGCUGAUGGAUGGACCCGCGGUGCAUUAGCUAGUUGGUGAGGUAACGGCUUACCAAGGCCGUGAUGCAUAGCCGACCUGAGAGGGUGAUCGGCCACAUUGGGACUGAGACACGGCCCAAACUCCUACGGGAGGCAGCAGUAGGGAAUCUUCCGCAAAGGACGCAAGUCUGACGGAGCAACGCCGCGUGAGUGAAGAAGGUUUUCGGAUCGUAAAACUCUGUUGUUAGAGAAGAACAAGUGCUAGAGUAACUGUUAGCGCCUUGACGGUAUCUAACCAGAAAGCCACGGCUAACUACGUG